GGCAGUAUGGCUGAGAUAGAGGCGAUGGAUUGUAAAUUCAUAGUAUAAAGGUUCGAGUCCUUUUGCUGUCA
Molecule: transfer RNA, 71 nt
Filed under: Glossobalanus marginatus
Lineage: Eukaryota; Metazoa; Hemichordata; Enteropneusta; Ptychoderidae
Description: tRNA-Tyr
Rfam family: tRNA
About the family: Transfer RNA (tRNA) molecules are approximately 80 nucleotides in length. Their secondary structure includes four short double-helical elements and three loops (D, anti-codon, and T loops). Further hydrogen bonds mediate the characteristic L-shaped molecular structure. tRNAs have two regions of fundamental functional importance: the anti-codon, which is responsible for specific mRNA codon recognition, and the 3' end, to which the tRNAs corresponding amino acid is attached (by aminoacyl-tRNA synthetases). tRNAs cope with the degeneracy of the genetic code in two manners: having more than one tRNA (with a specific anti-codon) for a particular amino acid; and 'wobble' base-pairing, i.e. permitting non-standard base-pairing at the 3rd anti-codon position.
Source: RNAcentral